Non-coding RNA from Peromyscus maniculatus bairdii (prairie deer mouse), 2768 nucleotides. The record is from RefSeq and is a predicted model, not a curated record. Lineage: Eukaryota; Metazoa; Chordata; Mammalia; Rodentia; Cricetidae.
GCUGCCUCCAGCUGGUAAGGCCGAAAGACCAAGUUCUCCAGCAGGGGACUGCUGACGGCUAAAAACUGUUACCUCUGUCAAGCAUGAAGGACUGUGGGAGGAAUCUGUCUCUGGAAUGGAGACAGACACUGUAGCAGAGAAAAGGAAGAGUGACAGAAGUUUCAGAUGAAAGAAUCGACCACUGAUAAAUCCAUCAUCUGGCAGGGAAGGAGCAGAAGGAACAGAGGGUUUUGGGGAAACGUUGGGAAGCUUCUCCCUGCUCAGAAGCAGACCUCCUGGUUUUAACACGGUGUCCAGUUCAUAGUCAUCAAUCUAAAGGGACGAUCACACCGAGUGUCAGUUGCAACCCUGUCUUCACAUGUGGUAAAAUUGAAGCAUGUAGAAAUUGAGUAGCUGGUUCAAAAUCUUUUGUCCAGUCAGGCACUGCAGUAUUUUUUCUUAACUCCAGACAUGUCCUCUGAACAUUUUCUGCCACUCUUAGGAUUUGAAGUUUCAAAUUUAAAGUUGUGGGGAAUAUGUUCUUGGGCUUUUAGGAAAUCGCUCAUCAGAAAUUACAAUGUGUAUGACCCAAAGGCAAUUCUGGGAUCAAGAGCCACUUGAAUACAUAAAAGCAUACAUGCCUAUGCACAAUAUAGCUUAUUGGAUAUGAAGGUGGUAUAGGCAAGGGUGAUGAAGAAGAAGAAGAAGAAGAAGAAGAAGAAGAAGAAGAAGAAGAAGAAGAAGAAGAAGAAGAAGAAGAAGAAGAAGAAGAAGAAGAAGAAAAAGUUGUUUUGAAUAUUUACCCUGAGCGGUUUCUAGACCACAAGGACAUUGAUGUCUAGAACAGAACUGUCAGGGAGAUGCUACAGUCUUUUUUAUGAAGAUAUUAUUUUGUUUUGUGGAUGCGUACUUUAUAAGGGAAACAGUUUGCAUUAGAGCUAGUGUUUUUGGAGGUGGGGAAAUCCAAGUUCAUAGAGAAAGUGUAUAUUUGGAUUCCUCGGUUCCUGGUGAGAGCCUCAUGCUGCAUCUUCUGGCUGAAUAAGCAGAAUGCACACACAGGUGCACAAAGAGGGACCGCACAUGAAAAGGAGGAAGUACGAGGGGAGAGACAGCCUUGCUUCACAACAUCGGCCUUCUGUCACUCACCUACUCUUGUGAGGAUGGAUGACAUCAAUCCCUCAGAGUUUGGAUCCACCAUGAUCUAAUGAUCUCUCUCAGCAAUGGUGCUUUGGAGAUCAGAUUAAAAUUGACUUUUGGGAGGGAAAAACCACAUCUAAGUCACAGCAGCUACACAAGUUCUCUGAGGAGCAAACAUAUACUGGGAAUGAAAUCAGACUUGACCGUGACGUACAAAACCCGGAAAUACCUAGCUCCUUUUACCUCCUUGACAUCCUCCAAAACCCAUCUUUUGUACCCACUCAGCUCUCAGGUGCAGAGGCUGCUAAUGCACUUGUCUCAGAGCUCUUGCUCUUCCAUGUUGAGCUCUUGGUUUGUAUCAGGCCACACUUCUCUGUGGCUCUCUUGGACAGAGAGUUAGUAAGGCAUCUGUGCUGUGCUUCACAGCAGUGAUAGAUUUAUGCUCCUAACCAGGCGGGCCCUCGGUGCUCUACACUGAACUAAACUGCUUGAUAUGAAACUUCCCAUCACCCUUAAACGGUUUUAAACAAUCAGGUCUUUCCUUUGUUCUAGGGAUGGGUCCAAAGCUCCUCAGGAGGGAUUCUGGGAAGAUUGCUCUGAAGGUUGUUUUCUGAAGAUGUUCCUCUGCCCUUUUACCCCACCGCUCCUAUCCCUCUCCUGGUGGCUACCUAUGGCUCUCUCUCCCUAUCCGUCUCUCAGUCUCACCGUCAGUGAAGCCCCUUUCUGUGUUUCAGAGGGAAUUCUCUCCUUCCCUCUGAGACUCUCAUGCUUAGACCUGCAUACAUUGUCUUCUUUCUGUCUAAUGCUCUUCCUCCCAAGCCCUCCCAUUCUUACAAACCUCUUGGCAGGAAACUGUGCCCACUUUCUUUGUGGACCAAUUCCUGCUGCUCAUCUUUUAUUACAAGUUCCCACUUAUUCUUCCAUUCAUUAACGAAAUCCUUCCAACACAGCCCCUGAUAGGCUCCUUAAACUGUCUGUCACCUUUAUUCCUGUUGCUGUGGAGGUUCUCCCACUCACUCUGUCUCAUGAUCAAUUUCUACCCACAUUAACACACCGGGGGUUGUGCCAUUAAACCCUAAUAGGUUAAACAAGGGGACAUUAUCAAAAAACAUUUGCGUUAAGAGGUGAUGGUAGAUAGUUUCCCAACAAACACACAGUUAUUGCUUCUAUAACUUGCUAUGAAGUGUGGCAGGGCAUUUUUCUGCCAGGGAAGGCAGAAUGGGAGAUAAAAUGAAUCAUAUAUUUCUUAAUUAGUCAAUAAAAGGAAGCAUGUCAUAUUAUAAAUAUAGAGAAACUUUUUGAUGUUAAAUUAAUGAAUGGCAUCAAUCUUUACAUGAAGUUUUUUUCAGCUAUGUAGCAGACCACACUUUGUACAAUAGCUAAGACAAAGGCACAAAGCACACGCAUCUGGUGUUUCCUUUGUCAGCCUUUGGUCCCCUACGGCUUUGCCUAAGGUAGUUCAAUGAUUUCCAGGGAACACACAUGCUUCUAAAAUAUGGUUGGAAAAGCACUUUGAAGCACAAGGUAAGCAUUCUCUGGGCUAGAGAGGUGGUUUAAUGGUUAAGGUCAGGUGUUGCUUUUGCAGACCUGAGUUCAGUUCCUGGAACCCACAGCAGGCAGCUCUAAAUGGCCUGUAGCUCUAGUUCUGGGGG